Molecule: ribosomal RNA, 383 nt
Filed under: uncultured bacterium
Lineage: Bacteria
Description: bacterial SSU rRNA
Rfam family: Bacterial small subunit ribosomal RNA
Source: RNAcentral
GAGUUUGAUCCUGGCUCAGGACGAACGCUGGCGGCGCGCCUAACACAUGCAAGUCGAACGAGCAAGAGAGAGCUUGCUUUCUCGAGCGAGUGGCGAACGGGUGAGUAACGCGUGAGGAACCUGCCUCAAAGAGGGGGACAACAGUUGGAAACGACUGCUAAUACCGCAUAAGCCCACGACCCGGCAUCGGGUUGAGGGAAAAGGAGCAAUCCGCUUUGAGAUGGCCUCGCGUCCGAUUAGCUAGUUGGUGAGGUAACGGCCACCAAGGCGACGAUCAGUAGCCGACCUGAGAGGGUGACCCGGCCACCAUUGGGACUGAGACACGGCCCAAACUCCUACGGGAGGGCAGCAGUGGGGAAUAUUGCACAAUGGGGGAAACCCUG